ACAAAGCAGCAAAAAUUGAACC
This 22-nucleotide small nuclear RNA is filed under the name Arabidopsis thaliana (thale cress). Its description in RNAcentral is "snRNA_16906". The record is from RNAcentral. Lineage: Eukaryota; Viridiplantae; Streptophyta; Magnoliopsida; Brassicales; Brassicaceae.